AUUGAACGCUGGCGGCAUGCCUUACACAUGCAAGUCGAACGGUAACAGGUCUUCGGAUGCUGACGAGUGGCGAACGGGUGAGUAAUACAUCGGAACGUGCCCGAUCGUGGGGGAUAACGAGGCGAAAGCUUUGCUAAUACCGCAUACGAUCUACGGAUGAAAGCGGGGGAUCUUCGGACCUCGCGCGGACGGAGCGGCCGAUGGCAGAUUAGGUAGUUGGUGGGAUAAAAGCUUACCAAGCCGACGAUCUGUAGCUGGUCUGAGAGGAUGAUCAGCCACACUGGGACUGAGACACGGCCCAGACUCCUACGGGAGGCAGCAGUGGGGAAUGUUGGACAAUGGGCGAAAGCCUGAUCCAGCCAUGCCGCGUGCAGGAUGAAGGCCUUCGGGUUGUAAACUGCUUUUGUACGGAACGAAAAGCCUCUUUCUAAUAAAGAGGGGUCAUGACGGUACCGGAAGAAUAAGCACCGGCUAACUACGUG
Molecule: ribosomal RNA, 482 nt
Filed under: uncultured bacterium
Lineage: Bacteria
Description: partial 16S ribosomal RNA
Rfam family: Bacterial small subunit ribosomal RNA
Source: RNAcentral